Molecule: long non-coding RNA, 3392 nt
Organism: Sphaeramia orbicularis (orbiculate cardinalfish)
Lineage: Eukaryota; Metazoa; Chordata; Actinopteri; Kurtiformes; Apogonidae
Source: Ensembl
AGGAGGAGCAACUCACAAACUACAUGCAACAUCCAACACAGACAAAGUAGGCAUUUAUACUUGGAGCGAUAGAGGAUUAUUAUUCAGCAUCAGAAAAAAACAUUAUUCAUCAUGAACGGAAAUAUACUUUGUUGUAUAUUUUUGCUUGGAUAUCUUUCAUCAUCAGGACAAGCUCAAACAACAACAACUGUGGUUCCAUCAACGAUAAUGACGACUGUGGCACCAACAACUACGACCGCAACCACAGCUCCAACAACCACAACUCAAGCUCCAACAACCACAACUUCAGCUCCAACAACCACAACCGCAGCUCCAACAACCACAACCGCAGCUCCAACAAUCACAACCGCAGCUCCAACAAUCACAACCGCAGCUCCAACAACCACAACUCCAGUCCCAACAACCACAACUGCAGCUCCAAUACCCACAACUCCAGCUCCGACAACCCCAGCUCUAGCAAUCUUAACUCCAACAAGCACAACUCCAACAACCACAUCCGCAGCUCCAACAACCACAACUCCAGGUCCAACAAGCACAACAACAGUUCCAACAACCACAACCAUAGCUCCAUCAACCACAACCACAACCACAGCUCCAACAACCACAACCACAGCUCCAACAACCACAACCAUAGCUCCAACAACCGCAACCCCAACAACCACAGCCACAGCUCAAACAACCACAGCUGCAGCUCCAACAACCAUAACUCCAGCUCCCACAACCACAACUCCAGUCCCAACAACCACAACCGCAGCUCCAGCAACCACAGCUGCAGCUCCAACAACCACAACUGCAGCUCCAACAACCACAUCUCCAGGUCUGACAACCCCAACCCCAGCUCCAGCAAUCCUAACUCCAACAAGCACAACUCCAACAACCACAACUCAAGCUCCAACAACCACAACCACAGCUCCAACAACCACAACCGCAGCUCUAGCAACCACAAUCACAGCUCCAACAACCACAGCUCCAACAACCACAACCAUAGCUCAACCAACCACAACUCCAGCUCCAACAACCACAAUUGCAGCUCCAUCCACCACAACCGCAACUCCAACAGCCACAACUCCAGCUUCCACAACCACAACUCCAGCUCUGACAACCCCAACCCCAGCUCUAGCAAUCCUAACUCCAACAAGCACAACUCCAACAACCACAACUCCAGCUCCAACAACCACAGCUCCAGCGCCAACAACCACAACCACAGCUCCAACAACCACAAUUGCAGCUCCAUCCACCACAACCGCAACUCCAACAGCCACAACUCCAGCUUCCACAACCACAACUCCAGCUCCGACAACCCCAACCCCAGCUCCAGCAAUCAUAACUCCAACAACCACAACCACAGCUCCAAACACCACAACUCCAGCUCCAACAACCACAACCACAGCUCCAACAACCACAACCACAGCUCAAGCAACCACAAUCACAGCUCCAACAACCACAACCGCAGCUCCAACAACCACAAUUGCAGCUCCAACAACCAUUACUCCAGCUCCAACUACAACACCAGGCUUAACAACUUUGGCACAUCUACAAAUUGAGAUAUCUUCUGUUGGAGAGAUCAGCAAUGGAACAAUCACUCAUCUUAUUCAACAGUUUUUUAGAGAACAGCUCCUGAAUGGAACAGCUCACACCGUCACUGUGACCAAAAUUCAGAGGGUUAGUGUGAGCCCAUAGAUGUAUAUGCAAUUUAAUGGUCAACGACAAGCUUGUAAAGAUAGAAAAAAAAUCCUGAUGAUUAUCAUUUUACAUGCUGUGAAAUGCACUUUGCUCAAAUGUUUCAUCAAACGUCUUCAAGACUCUUUUCUCAUGUGUGUGAAUUUCCACAAAUCCCCCUCUAAAAUCCUCAAAUGGACCCCCAGUAUGUUGAGUAGUAGACUUCUGCUUUUGCUUUAAGUGUCAGAUUACAGCGUAUUUGCACUUUACAAUGGAAAACUCAGAAUAUGUGUUGUGAACAAAUGUCAGUAAUUACCACACAUUGUAACUUGAGAGUUGGCUGUCAUGAAGACAAGAUGGUGACCAAGAAACUAGCAAACCAGCUCACGCCUCUUUUCUAUUGUGUAUAAAUGAGGAAAUGUUUCUUGUGAAACAGUAAUAACCUUGGUGAGUGUCUCAUACCAAGGACAUGACUGUAUCCCAAAUUAGGGAGUUGAAUUGACUGUCAGGUCUUUCUGACAGAAUAAGUUCAUUUUAUGUUAGGAAUUGUUUUAUGUAUAUAGAUUGUGUCUAAUCAUUUACCUGAAAACCAGGUUAAUGAAGCACUGCGUAUUUUCUGCAUGAAAGAAGAAAGAAGCUGUGACGGGAAAAAUACCUUUUGGGAUUUAGUACCUUGGAAUAUUGAGUAGAGAAUGAAUUCCAGAGAAAGGUGUGUGUGUGUGUGUGUGUGUGUGUGUGUGUGUGGGGGGGGGGGGUGCUUGUUUUUUUUUUUUAUUGUUUUUUUCAUUGGUUUUUUUUUUUUUUUUACUUGUCUGUAUUCCCUAUGAUUUUACACUCUUCACACUGUGGUUUUGUUUUACCUCAUCUUACUUUUUUGUUUUAUGUCCAUGUAAACCUGCUUUUCUUUGUUUCACUAUAGUGGAAAAAAUGCAAAUGAAGUGUGAGGUAUGUCAGUAAGGUUAGUCUUUAUUUGUUUUGGUAACACUUUAGAUCAGUGUAUGAAACUAGUUCAUGUUUUAAGGCCCUGGAACUAAUGAAUUCACCAACAGACAAUCGACCUUUUUUGCCUUAAGAAAAAUAGUCUAAAUAAUUAUUGUUGUACCAAUAUAUUAUUUAUUUUCACAAUGUACUAUGAAACCUUCAACUGCUAUUGCUGUUACCAUAACCAAAUCUUGUUUAACCUUCAUAGAUUCAGGUUAGACAUGUACACUUUCCUAACAGAUCGUUUCCAGUUUCCCUGUACUAAAAUAUAAUAUGUUGGAAAAUUUGAUUAAAAAAAAAACAAAAACAGGACAUUUAAAGCUUUUCGCAUUUUCUUUCUUUAAUACAUUUUUAAUGACACUUUAUUCAAUUUUGAAUCAACCAUUUAGAAUUAUCAAUAAAACUUUACCCAAGUAUGUCUUAAAACAUUAUUCAGUUUUGCAUCAAAGAGUCGUUAUCAAGUAUGUAUUAUUAAUAAUAUGUGACACAAUUUUUAUCUAUGCUUAAAACAGUUGACAUUACCAAAAUGAUGAUGGUGAGUUACUGAAAAUGUGUGAUAAUUAUUAAAAUACAUUAUUUAAAAUCAGGUUGAAUAACUUACCAUCAAGCUAAAACAUCCACUUGUUGUUAUAGUUCUAUUCUUCAUUUUUUUCCUGCAGCAUAGAAUCUUUCCAUCACAGUGUAAAUUAUGCUACUGUGCAAACCCUAUGUAAACAAAACCCAAAAAUACACCAGCGCUAAGCAAUUCCACA